GUGUCAGCAGCCGCGGUAAUACGAGGGGUGCAAGCGUUGCUCGGAAUUAUUGGGCGUAAAGGGUAGGUAGGUGGUCUUGUUUGUCUGUGGUGAAAUCCUUGGGCUUAACCCAAGAAGUGCCAUAGAAACGGCAAGACUCGAGUUCUGGAGAGGGUCGUGGAAUUCCCGGUGUAGCGGUGAAAUGCGUAGAGAUCGGGAGGAACACCAGAGGCGAAGGCGGCGACCUGGACAGAUACUGACACUCAACUACGAAAGCGUGGGUAGCAAACAGGAUUAGAAACCCCUGUAGUCC
This 292-nucleotide ribosomal RNA is filed under the name uncultured bacterium. RNAcentral describes it as "partial 16S ribosomal RNA". It matches the Rfam family "Bacterial small subunit ribosomal RNA", at positions 505 to 796 of the family's 1533-position model. The record is from RNAcentral.